UCAUAAUGUUCUCUUUCCAGUCCUUAAAGUUUGUGCCGUUAAGCACAGGGAUGCUAUUAUGUUUGCAGAUAUCGAAGCAACUGAAGAAUUCACUGAAUAUAGAACAAGGAUAACUUAAUACAUGCUUACAAUUACUUGAACUUUAACCUUAGUUUACAGAUUCAAAAUAGGCAAAUCCCAUUACAAGAUACCUAGCACAACAUUGAUUUUAGUCUUUGGACAGAAAAUCAACUUGUAAGUGGUACN
Molecule: long non-coding RNA, 246 nt
Filed under: Nicotiana benthamiana
Lineage: Eukaryota; Viridiplantae; Streptophyta; Magnoliopsida; Solanales; Solanaceae
Description: long non-coding RNA (NBEN_LNC004155)
Source: RNAcentral